GGUUAAGCGACUAAGCGUACACGGUGGAUGCCCUGGCAGUCAGAGGCGAUGAAGGACGUGCUAAUCUGCGAUAAGCGUCGGUAAGGUGAUAUGAACCGUUAUAACCGGCGAUUUCCGAAUGGGGAAACCCAGUGUGAUUCGUCACACUAUCAUUAACUGAAUCCAUAGGUUAAUGAGGCGAACCGGGGGAACUGAAACAUCUAAGUACCCCGAGGAAAAGAAAUCAACCGAGAUUCCCCCAGUAGCGGCGAGCGAACGGGGAGCAGCCCAGAGCCUGAAUCAGUGUGUGUGUUAGUGGAAGCGUCUGGAAAGGCGCGCGAUACAGGGUGACAGCCCCGUACACAAAAAUGCACAUGCUGUGAGCUCGAUGAGUAGGGCGGGACACGUGGUAUCCUGUCUGAAUAUGGGGGGACCAUCCUCCAAGGCUAAAUACUCCUGACUGACCGAUAGUGAACCAGUACCGUGAGGGAAAGGCGAAAAGAACCCCGGCGAGGGGAGUGAAAAAGAACCUGAAACCGUGUACGUACAAGCAGUGGGAGCACAGAGCAAUCUGUGUGACUGCGUACCUUUUGUAUAAUGGGUCAGCGACUUAUAUUCUGUAGCAAGGUUAACCGAAUAGGGGAGCCGAAGGGAAACCGAGUCUUAACUGGGCGUUAAGUUGCAGGGUAUAGACCCGAAACCCGGUGAUCUAGCCAUGGGCAGGUUGAAGGUUGGGUAACACUAACUGGAGGACCGAACCGACUAAUGUUGAAAAAUUAGCGGAUGACUUGUGGCUGGGGGUGAAAGGCCAAUCAAACCGGGAGAUAGCUGGUUCUCCCCGAAAGCUAUUUAGGUAGCGCCUCGUGAAUUCAUCUCCGGGGGUAGAGCACUGUUUCGGCAAGGGGGUCAUCCCGACUUACCAACCCGAUGCAAACUGCGAAUACCGGAGAAUGUUAUCACGGGAGACACACGGCGGGUGCUAACGUCCGUCGUGAAGAGGGAAACAACCCAGACCGCCAGCUAAGGUCCCAAAGUCAUGGUUAAGUGGGAAACGAUGUGGGAAGGCCCAGACAGCCAGGAUGUUGGCUUAGAAGCAGCCAUCAUUUAAAGAAAGCGUAAUAGCUCACUGGUCGAGUCGGCCUGCGCGGAAGAUGUAACGGGGCUAAACCAUGCACCGAAGCUGCGGCAGCGACGCUGAUGCGUUGUUGGGUAGGGGAGCGUUCUGUAAGCCUGCGAAGGUGUGCUGUGAGGCAUGCUGGAGGUAUCAGAAGUGCGAAUGCUGACAUAAGUAACGAUAAAGCGGGUGAAAAGCCCGCUCGCCGGAAGACCAAGGGUUCCUGUCCAACGUUAAUCGGGGCAGGGUGAGUCGACCCCUAAGGCGAGGCCGAAAGGCGUAGUCGAUGGGAAACAGGUUAAUAUUCCUGUACUUGGUGUUACUGCGAAGGGGGGACGGAGAAGGCUAUGUUGGCCGGGCGACGGUUGUCCCGGUUUAAGCGUGUAGGCUGGUUUUCCAGGCAAAUCCGGAAAAUCAAGGCUGAGGCGUGAUGACGAGGCACUACGGUGCUGAAGCAACAAAUGCCCUGCUUCCAGGAAAAGCCUCUAAGCAUCAGGUAACAUCAAAUCGUACCCCAAACCGACACAGGUGGUCAGGUAGAGAAUACCAAGGCGCUUGAGAGAACUCGGGUGAAGGAACUAGGCAAAAUGGUGCCGUAACUUCGGGAGAAGGCACGCUGAUAUGUAGGUGAAGUCCCUCGCGGAUGGAGCUGAAAUCAGUCGAAGAUACCAGCUGGCUGCAACUGUUUAUUAAAAACACAGCACUGUGCAAACACGAAAGUGGACGUAUACGGUGUGACGCCUGCCCGGUGCCGGAAGGUUAAUUGAUGGGGUCAGCGCAAGCGAAGCUCUUGAUCGAAGCCCCGGUAAACGGCGGCCGUAACUAUAACGGUCCUAAGGUAGCGAAAUUCCUUGUCGGGUAAGUUCCGACCUGCACGAAUGGCGUAAUGAUGGCCAGGCUGUCUCCACCCGAGACUCAGUGAAAUUGAACUCGCUGUGAAGAUGCAGUGUACCCGCGGCAAGACGGAAAGACCCCGUGAACCUUUACUAUAGCUUGACACUGAACAUUGAGCCUUGAUGUGUAGGAUAGGUGGGAGGCUUUGAAGUGUGGACGCCAGUCUGCAUGGAGCCGACCUUGAAAUACCACCCUUUAAUGUUUGAUGUUCUAACGUUGACCCGUGAUCCGGGUUGCGGACAGUGUCUGGUGGGUAGUUUGACUGGGGCGGUCUCCUCCUAAAGAGUAACGGAGGAGCACGAAGGUUGGCUAAUCCUGGUCGGACAUCAGGAGGUUAGUGCAAUGGCAUAAGCCAGCUUGACUGCGAGCGUGACGGCGCGAGCAGGUGCGAAAGCAGGUCAUAGUGAUCCGGUGGUUCUGAAUGGAAGGGCCAUCGCUCAACGGAUAAAAGGUACUCCGGGGAUAACAGGCUGAUACCGCCCAAGAGUUCAUAUCGACGGCGGUGUUUGGCACCUCGAUGUCGGCUCAUCACAUCCUGGGGCUGAAGUAGGUCCCAAGGGUAUGGCUGUUCGCCAUUUAAAGUGGUACGCGAGCUGGGUUUAGAACGUCGUGAGACAGUUCGGUCCCUAUCUGCCGUGGGCGCUGGAGAACUGAGGGGGGCUGCUCCUAGUACGAGAGGACCGGAGUGGACGCAUCACUGGUGUUCGGGUUGUCAUGCCAAUGGCACUGCCCGGUAGCUAAAUGCGGAAGAGAUAAGUGCUGAAAGCAUCUAAGCACGAAACUUGCCCCGAGAUGAGUUCUCCCUGACUCCUUGAGAGUCCUGAAGGAACGUUGAAGACGACGACGUUGAUAGGCCGGGUGUGUAAGCGCAGCGAUGCGUUGAGCUAACCGGUACUAAUGAACCGUGAGGCUUAACCUU
RNAcentral lists this ribosomal RNA (2906 nucleotides) under Escherichia coli. RNAcentral describes it as "23S ribosomal RNA". It matches the Rfam family "Bacterial large subunit ribosomal RNA". Lineage: Bacteria; Pseudomonadati; Pseudomonadota; Gammaproteobacteria; Enterobacterales; Enterobacteriaceae. The record is from RNAcentral.